UUGCUCUUAUGAAGUUAGCGGCGGACGGGUGAGUAACACGUGGGUAACCUGCCCAUAAGACUGGGAUAACUCCGGGAAACCGGGGCUAAUACCGGAUAACAUUUUGAACCGCAUGGUUCGAAAUUGAAAGGCGGCUUCGGCUGUCACUUAUGGAUGGACCCGCGUCGCAUUAGCUAGUUGGUGAGGUAACGGCUCACCAAGGCAACGAUGCGUAGCCGACCUGAGAGGGUGAUCGGCCACACUGGGACUGAGACACGGCCCAGACUCCUACGGGAGGCAGCAGUAGGGAAUCUUCCGCAAUGGACGAAAGUCUGACGGAGCAACGCCGCGUGAGUGAUGAAGGCUUUCGGGUCGUAAAACUCUGUUGUUAGGGAAGAACAAGUGCUAGUUGAAUAAGCUGGGCCUU
RNAcentral lists this ribosomal RNA (406 nucleotides) under Bacillus cereus. RNAcentral's name for it is "bacterial SSU rRNA". It matches the Rfam family "Bacterial small subunit ribosomal RNA", at positions 80 to 475 of the family's 1533-position model. Lineage: Bacteria; Bacillati; Bacillota; Bacilli; Caryophanales; Bacillaceae. The record is from RNAcentral.